RNAcentral lists this ribosomal RNA (468 nucleotides) under uncultured bacterium. RNAcentral's name for it is "partial 16S ribosomal RNA". It matches the Rfam family "Bacterial small subunit ribosomal RNA", at positions 28 to 507 of the family's 1533-position model. The record is from RNAcentral.
GACGAACGCUGGCGGCGUGCUUAACACAUGCAAGUCGAACGGAAAGGCCCUGCUUUUGUGGGGUGCUCGAGUGGCGCACGGGUGAGUAACACGUGAGUAACCUGCCCUUGACUUUGGGAUAACUUCAGGAAACUGGGGCUAAUACCGGAUAGGAGCUCCUGCUGCAUGGUGGGGGUUGGAAAGUUUCGGCGGUUGGGGAUGGACUCGCGGCUUAUCAGCUUGUUGGUGGGGUAGUGGCUUUCCAAGGCUUUGACGGGUAGCCGGCCUGAGAGGGUGACCGGCCACCUUGGGACUGAGAGAGGGACCAGACGCCUACGGUACGCAGCAGUGGGGAAUAUUGCACAAUGGGCGGAAGCCUGAUGCAGCAACGCCGCGUGCGGGAUGACGGCCUUCUGGUUGUAAACCGCUUUCGCCUGUGACGAAGCGUGAGUGACGGUAAUGGGUAAAGAAGCACCGGCUAACUACGUG